This 1046-nucleotide long non-coding RNA is filed under the name Calidris pugnax (ruff). RNAcentral describes it as "lncRNA (ENSCPUG00000011055.1)". Lineage: Eukaryota; Metazoa; Chordata; Aves; Charadriiformes; Scolopacidae. The record is from RNAcentral.
AUCUGCACUACCAUGGUUACAGAAGGAUGAAGAAGGUUUCUGUGGUCUGACACUGGCUCAGCAGGAAGGUCCGUGCCAGAGGAGUGCCACCAGCACAUACAGGAACUGUGGUACCUGCUGCAGGAACCAACACCUCCGCUGAUGCCAUGGUUUGGAGCUCUGUGACCAUAGACUCUGGUCUACUCAGCUGGAGAGAGACUCAACUGGAUAAUACCUUUGUCUUCUCUGAUGAUUUCACUGAAAGGGCAGAAAUACUGCAGCCACAACAUUUAGUGGAUAUCUGACAAAACCCCGGCCACUUCUGUUCUCCAGCGUCAGCAGAGCAGUAGAAGUUAGGAAGCAUCAAAAGACCCUUUCAGCGUACUGAGAGAAGCACAAGUUGAAGGACGGCGCUGAUGAGAUGAGACCAAGGAGGAGGCUGCAGCAUCAUUCACACGUUCAUCUCCGUGCUGAGCUCCUGCCCUAGAGCCCCAGUACCACGCUCACCGGGGAUGCUUCUUGGGGAUCCAGCUCCUGCCAUUCUGUGACUCCUCAUUCCCCUUCUGCGGAGCUUCAUUUCUACUGGUAUCCAUCCUGACAGUCUCUGGGGCAGGCUGGCUGCUGCUCGUGCUGCCAGACCCCUGGCUGAGCACCUUGGCAUAAGUCAGGAUACAGAACCUUAUUUUUGUUUCUCAGUGGGGAAUCACCCACAUAUCACCCAAAGGCACAUAUCUUGAAUCGAAUCAUCAUAAAGAGAGGAAAAAAAUAUUUCAUUUCUUCUUUAGGCCCUUGAAACAAAUUCAUUGUCCUAUUUGUGCACUAGGCAGUAUUCUUGAAAUCAAAAGCAGAUCUUUUAAAACCAAGAUGGACAUUAAUUUUAUCAACCACGUGUCUUAGAGAAUACCUACCCUGUUUGAAAAUUAUUUCUCUAUGUGAAGCUAUGCCUAAGUUUACAAGCUUAGCAAGACCUUAAGUGACUUGCUUUAUACAACCAUUCAGUAUUGCCCUGCACUCCAAUAAUCCUUUAGUAUAAUAAAAUAUAUGUCUUCACUUCUUUACUAGAAGUU